AUUGAACGCUGGCGGCAUGCUUUACACAUGCAAGUCGAACGGUAACAGGCCUUCGGGUGCUGACGAGUGGCGAACGGGUGAGUAAUGCAUCGGAACGUACCCAGAGGUGGGGGAUAACGCAGCGAAAGCUGUGCUAAUACCGCAUGUGAUCUGAGGAUGAAAGCGGGGGACCGCGCAGCAACGUUUGGCCUCGCGCCUUUGGAGCGGCCGAUGUCGGAUUAGCUAGUUGGUGGGGUAAAGGCCUACCAAGGCGACGAUCCGUAGCUGGUCUGAGAGGACGACCAGCCACACUGGGACUGAGACACGGCCCAGACUCCUACGGGAGGCAGCAGUGGGGAAUUUUGGACAAUGGGCGCAAGCCUGAUCCAGCCAUGCCGCGUGCGGGAAGAAGGCCUUCGGGUUGUAAACCGCUUUUGGCAGGAACGAAACGGUGUCCGCUAAUACCGGGCGCUAAUGACGGUACCUGCAGAAUAAGCACCGGCUAACUACGUG
Molecule: ribosomal RNA, 492 nt
Filed under: uncultured bacterium
Lineage: Bacteria
Description: partial 16S ribosomal RNA
Rfam family: Bacterial small subunit ribosomal RNA
Source: RNAcentral